Molecule: long non-coding RNA, 310 nt
Filed under: Marmota monax (woodchuck)
Lineage: Eukaryota; Metazoa; Chordata; Mammalia; Rodentia; Sciuridae
Source: RNAcentral
AUUUUAUUGAGAAUUUUUGCAUCUACAUUCAUUAGAGAUAUUGGUCUGAAAUUUUCUUUCUUUGAUGUGUCUUUGCCUGGUUUUGGAAUCACGGUGAUAUUGGCCUCAUUGAAUGAGUUUGGAAGUGCUGCCUCUUUUUCUAUUUUCUGAAAUAAAUUGAAGAGUAUUGGUAUUAGUUCUUCUUUAAAGUUCUUGUAGAACUCUGCUGUGUAUCUAUCCUGUCCUGGGCUUUUCUUGGUUGGUAGACUUCUGAUGGCAUCUUCUAUUUCAUCACUUGAUAUUGGUCUGGUUAAGUUGUGUAUAUCUUCCU